RNAcentral lists this ribosomal RNA (253 nucleotides) under uncultured bacterium. RNAcentral's name for it is "partial 16S ribosomal RNA". It matches the Rfam family "Bacterial small subunit ribosomal RNA", at positions 524 to 776 of the family's 1533-position model. The record is from RNAcentral.
GACAGAGGUGCCAAGCGUUAGGCGGAAUCACUGGGCUUAAAGCGUGUGUAGGCGGAUCGUUAAGUACCUUGUGAAAUCCCACGGCUCAACCGUGGAACUGCUCGGUAUACUGGCGGUCUUGAGCCACCUAGGGGCAACUGGAACAAGCGGUGGAGCGGUGAAAUGCGUAGAUAUCAGGAAGAACACCCGUGGCGAAGGCGGUUCUCUGGGACGGUACUGACGCUGAGACGCGAAAGCGUGGGGAGCGAACAGG